GAGACAGCAGCAGCCGCGGGAAUACGAAGGGGGCUAGCGUUGCUCGGAAUGACUGGGCGUAAAGGGCGCGUAGGCGGCGAUCAAAGUCAGGCGUGAAAUUCCUGGGCUCAACCUGGGGGCUGCGCUUGAUACUUGGUUGCUUGAGUGGGGAAGAGGGUCGUGGAAUUCCCAGUGUAGAGGUGAAAUUCGUAGAUAUUGGGAAGAACACCGGUGGCGAAGGCGGCGACCUGGUCCUUGACUGACGCUGAGGCGCGAAAGCGUGGGGAGCAAACAGGAUUAGAGACCCCCGUAGUCCCUGUCUCUUAUAC
Molecule: ribosomal RNA, 308 nt
Filed under: uncultured bacterium
Lineage: Bacteria
Description: partial 16S ribosomal RNA
Rfam family: Bacterial small subunit ribosomal RNA
Source: RNAcentral